CUUCACGCCCUCACCCCUCCCCACCACAUCUUCAACCCCCAACUCACGCAUCGCCCCCCUCCUCUCUCCUGGACUCCCCAUCGUGCGCCGUUAGGUCGCCGUCGCCGCAUGCCGCUCCUCUCCCCACUCACGGGAGGAACUCUCUCCAAACCCUAACCCUAACCUCCUCUCUCUCCACGAAUACGCGCUGCACGCUGUUGCGCGCUCCCCUCCCCACUCGCCGGUUCCUCCGCGUCUCACCUGAUCUCCACCUCGAAAUCCGCCGCCGGAGCAGCGUUAGGUCGUCGCCCUCGGUGGCUCAUGUCGCACUGUCGCCCACCUUCGCGCCGCCACCGGUCUCCUCCGCACGAUUGGAACAGGAUAAUCUUCUGCUCAAGAAAACACCAAUGUUGGAGAUGAUCACAAUUGUCCUCCACUGCUCUUGAUCAUUCAAGCAGGCA
Oryza sativa Japonica Group (Japanese rice) is the source of this 440-nucleotide non-coding RNA. The record is from RefSeq and is a predicted model, not a curated record. Lineage: Eukaryota; Viridiplantae; Streptophyta; Magnoliopsida; Poales; Poaceae.